RNAcentral lists this ribosomal RNA (538 nucleotides) under Chaetomium cochliodes. RNAcentral's name for it is "partial large subunit ribosomal RNA". It matches the Rfam family "Eukaryotic large subunit ribosomal RNA", at positions 93 to 658 of the family's 3401-position model. Lineage: Eukaryota; Fungi; Ascomycota; Sordariomycetes; Sordariales; Chaetomiaceae. The record is from RNAcentral.
GUGAGCGGCAACAGCUCAAAUUUGAAAUCUGGCUUCGGCCCGAGUUGUAAUUUGCAGAGGAAGCUUUAGGCGCGGCACUUUCUGAGUCCCCUGGAACGGGGCGCCAUAGAGGGUGAGAGCCCCGUAUAGUUAGAUGCCUAGCCUGUGUAAAGCUCCUUCGACGAGUCGAGUAGUUUGGGAAUGCUGCUCAAAAUGGGAGGUAAAUUUCUUCUAAAGCUAAAUACCGGCCAGAGACCGAUAGCGCACAAGUAGAGUGAUCGAAAGAUGAAAAGCACUUUGAAAAGAGGGUUAAAUAGCACGUGAAAUUGUUGAAAGGGAAGCGCUUGUGACCAGACUUGCGCCGGGCAGAUCAUCCGGUGUUCUCACCGGUGCACUCUGCCCGGCUCAGGCCAGCAUCGGUUCUCGCGGGGGGAUAAAGGCCCUGGGAACGUAGCUCCUCCGGGAGUGUUAUAGCCCGGGGCGUAAUGCCCUCGCGGGGACCGAGGUUCGCGCAUCUGCAAGGAUGCUGGCGUAAUGGUCAUCAGCGACCCGUCUUGAA